GGGCUGCUGCGCUUGGCCGCUGCCGCGUCCUGGCUCCUUGGUUCCACGCUCUGGCAGCUUCCCGGCUGGACACGUGGGUUUUACGACAGCACAAAAUAGAUUUUCUGAACCUGGGAAACGUGCUGUUCAGACUUCAUCCGGGUCUCAUUCAGGAUGCUUCGAUGUUGGUUGGAAGAGAGUUAGACCGAAAAUGUUUUGACUGGCGUCGUUAUGACAAGGUCAUCCGUCAUUGUUGGAUAGAUUGAUAGCACCCAAGUUUAAGGCAGACACCACGAGGGAAAGCCCACGGCGCUGUGGUCCCGGAGGCUAACCAGGCAGUGUCCGCAGACCUCCAGCAACUCCAUCGGGAGGAGAGGAUGAAGUUCCAGGCCCGUUUCAAUUAAUCUGCUCGCAGAACUGCCGAAGAGUGGCUUGUCGGGCCACGGGAGAAGAAACAAAUGCUCUUUCUCACACUCUCCUGGUUCAUUGCUGAGAAACCAGGACACUCCUCUGUUCCCUGGGAGAGACAGUGAACUCCAGGGAUGGAAGUCCGGACUCCGGCGGCGGUCCCGUCAUUUGCCUUCUUGUUUCUGCCCAAACCCAGCUAGUUCCAAGCGCUUGGUCCCCAAGACUGGAAGUCCCCAAGAACCUACCUCUACCUGUCCCAACCCUGCCUCCCCCCUACCCUUUCACCCCCUGCCACCAUUAGAAAGUCUCUGGAUUUUGAAAUGCUAGUUGCAGCAGCUGCUUCCGUGGCCUCAUGCCGCCCACACUCUGGGAAGCGGAGGAGGGAGGGUUCCUCUCGUAAUAAGAUUAGCUGACCUGUUAAUGAGAGUUUUGGACGUGCCGGGCGGGGGUAGGCGCUUUAUGUCCAUUUAAUCCACCUACAUGCGGAGAAGGCAUUAUCAUUAACCCCCAUAUUGUAGAUGGGGACCGCUGAGGUUCGGAAAGUUUAGAUGGGUUGCCUAAGGUCACGCCAUUAAUGAGUAAUGGAGACGGAUUCAAAUACCGUUCGGUAAGGUGCCAAGUGCAUCUUCUGCCUACCCUAGUCCAACCUGUAGCCACUCGGUCCAGACUGACGCCAGAGGGGCUAUCAUGGGAGAGAUUUGGUUCCCCUCGCUGCGGGGUCCAGGGAAGAAGCUGAGAAGGUAGCAAAGUCCCCCUCGCCCACUACGUCUACAGGUGGCGUACCUGGGUAAUCCGAUUCAAGCUUCCGCCACACCCACCCCGGGCACAAGUCGAUCCCGAGGCUUACGGGACCCUAAGGCCCAGAGGCUACAGGAACCUCCCGUGAAGGGGGCAGGAGAAAGUUUGAGGGAGAGCCCUGAAGGUCCGGGAGCGAACGAAAAAGUCUGGAAGGGAAUAGACCAGGAGUCAGGACCUCCCCUGCACCUCCCCAGCAGGCCCACUGCGCCGAGCGGGGCCCCUGCCUCCACCGCGGCUUCCGGGAUGCCCGCAGAGCUCGGCAUCCUCACCCGGUGCGCACAAGGGCGCGCAGCGGCGUAAGCUGGACCCCCGACGCUGCGCGCGCUCUGAGGGGCGCUUCCCCCUCACACAGUUGACCCUGGGCCCGCUUGGUCACGGCCACCCUGGCGCAUCUCAAUAGUUUUUAGAAAGUGAGCCCACCGACGGCAAGGACAUGCACCCCCUCAAAUCCGCUUCCCCCACCCCCUUCAAUACUGAGAAGACCACGGAAACAAAUCACUUCGACCACUUAGAAAGCGAUCAAACCUUUAUAAAAAUCCAUCGCUCCCAAAUCGAUGGGUGAAUAUUUGCUGGGAAUUUGUUCCAGAGGAAUAAAUGAGGAGCCUUGAGUGUAUUAAAUGCAAACGGGGGGA
Molecule: long non-coding RNA, 1817 nt
Filed under: Homo sapiens (human)
Lineage: Eukaryota; Metazoa; Chordata; Mammalia; Primates; Hominidae
Description: HSALNT0329195
Source: RNAcentral